Molecule: RNA transcript, 3220 nt
Organism: Theobroma umbraticum
Lineage: Eukaryota; Viridiplantae; Streptophyta; Magnoliopsida; Malvales; Malvaceae
Gene name: casein kinase 1-like protein 3
Source: RefSeq, a predicted model, not a curated record
CUUUCUCAAAAGCCACGCAGUUUCUUUCUGUCCUUUGUUGCGAGUCUUCUCCUGUGUGUGGUUUCAGUUUCCCAGGGGAAAAAAAAGAAGGAAAAAGAAAAGGGAUAAAACCUGAAAAACAAAAAAAUAAAAAAGUCGUUAUCAAAAUCCUUUAAAGCUCUUUUCUAGCUUUGAUGAUCUGAUUGAUCGAACUCGUCGAUAAGCAUGGAACGAAUCGUCGGUGGCAAAUAUAAGCUCGGCCGUAAGAUCGGCAGUGGAUCUUUCGGUGAAAUUUUUCUUGCUACGCAUAUUGAUACGUUCGAGAUCGUCGCUGUUAAGAUGGAGAACAAUAAAACGAAGCAUCCGCAACUGCUUUACGAAGCAAAAUUGUACAAUAUUCUUCAAGGAGGAAGUGGAAUUCCAAGCAUAAAAUGGUCUGGUGUUAAUGGGGAAGAUAAUGUACUUGUUCUUGAUUUACUCGGACCUAGUCUCGAGGAUCUUUUUGUGUACUGUGGCAGGAAGUUUUCGCUGAAAACUGUCUUAAUGUUGGCUGAUCAAAUGAUUACAAGAAUUGAAUAUGUUCACGCCAAGGGAUUUCUUCAUAGAGACAUAAAGCCUGAUAACUUCCUAAUGGGACUUGGUCGCAAAGCAAAUCAGGUUUAUAUAAUUGAUUUUGGCCUUGCCAAAAGAUACCGAGACUCCACAACUAAUCGCCAUAUUCCUUACAGAGAAAACAAAAAUUUAACGGGGACUGCUCGUUAUGCAAGUUGCAAUACUCAUCUUGGAAUAGAGCAAAGUCGGCGGGAUGAUUUGGAGUCACUUGGCUAUGUGCUUUUAUAUUUUCUCAGAGGAAGUCUUCCAUGGCAAGGUUUGAAAGCUGCCACAAAGAAGCAGAAAUAUGAUAAAAUAUGUGAGAAGAAGUUGUCCACUCCUAUUGAGGUUCUAUGCAAGUCUCAUCCUGUGGAGUUUGCAUCAUACUUUCAUUAUUGCCAUUCAUUGACAUUUGAUCAACGUCCUGAUUAUGGGUUCCUGAAGCGUUUGUUCCGUGAUUUAUUUGCUCGUGAAGGUUAUGAGUUUGACUACAUAUUUGACUGGACAAUCAUCAAGUAUCAGCAGGCCCAGAAAACUAGAUCUCAGCCUCGAUUGUCUCCAGUUACUGGAGGUAGCAGCAGUCAUCCAUUACCUGUGGAUGUGGAUCAUCAUCAAGCAGGCUUCAAUGCCCCUUAUUCGACUGACGUCACAGAGCGCAUUAGAUCAAGUAAUGUUUCUGGUCCAGGUGUUCGCAUGCAAUUUAAAUCAGCAACAGGGAAGAACUUGAUUUCUGAUGCUACAGUUGACAAAAAUAUUUUUGACUCUCAUACACCCUCAUCGUCGUUUGCACCUGCUGGCACCUCAAAAAGAAAUGGUCAGAAAUUGCCCACUGAAGCUGCCAAUUCUGGCCACGGAAAUGGAAACAAAAUUGGACCUUCCAGUAGUUGGAUUUCAUCAUUGCAGCGCAUUUCGUCUGCCAAAUGAUGAAAAUGGAUGCAUUUCUGCCUACAGUACUGUUGGAAAGGUGGAAUAGGGAAUUACAAUUCAGGAAUGCAUACGAAGACCAUAAAACAUAUAUCUCUCUACAUGCUAACCAUGGAAGAUCUAGUAAUGGCUGCUAACUACUGACUGGUGAACAGUGAAGAAACCAUUUGUGGUUGGUAUCUUGUCUUGUAUCCUGAAUUCUGCAAAUAUCAACAGUGUACAUGCAGUAAAGCUCAGUUGUACAUUUGAUUUCAAGUUGAUUUUUGGAAUUGAUUGGUCUACUUCAAGGAGCACAUUACCUCAGACUGGAAUGUUGACAGGCAGUGUGCCAACAAUGUGUAACUAGUAACUACCCAGCUUGUCUUGUUAUGUAAAAAUUCUGAUAGAAGCUGUUCAGGAUAAUUAGAGAAGAUAGAAAGUCGACUACUGUUUGCAUUUGCUGUGGCUACUUGGGUACUGGAGAUCUGAAGAACUCUGUGGGGCAAAGCUGGACUUUGAGAUCAUUUUAUGUCGCGUUUGAAGUUUGGACCAGGUGGGGGAUAAACCAUUUCCUCUCAUCAGUUGUUGGUCUAGGAAUAGUCUUGCUUUUAUUGGUCUGUUGACACUUGUGUUAGUCAGGGCCCAACAUUUUGUGCAUCUGAAACCAGAUGACAGUAGCAUUGCUUCAAGCUGCUUCAGGUAUGUACAGCUCCUGACAUCCACUUCUGAGAAUUAUUCUAUUCCAGAAAGUGGUGCAAUUUAUGCCAUUAGUGGAGUUUGUGAAAUCUUAAGUUGGAUGAUCAGGAAUAAGCUGUUCCUUGCCCAAAUAACUGGGGGCUCCUUAGGAUAUAUUUUUGGUCUUCCUUGAAGAGCAAAGAGGAGUGAGGGGAGGAUGUCAGACCUGAAGGAGUAGGGUUGGUUCAGGAAAAGAUCUCGGAAACUAGUUGGAAGGCGGUUAGUCCUCCCGAAGUGGUAUUGGCAUGAUUAUUGAUAAGGGGGGACAUGCAAGCGUUGUGUUAUGGAUCUUCUGCCUGGAACAUCGGUAACCAAGUUAUUGGCUAUCAAAUGUGAAAUGGGUUUAUUAGUGCAAUCUUUUCGUGUGGUCUUUUCCUUUGUUCUUUUUGGGUGUUUCUUCGCUUCUGGACGUCCCAGGUUUUACUUGGCCGUUAAAAGCUAGGAAGCUGGGCACCGUCAACAUGUAAUAAUCUUGCAAUUGGAUAGGAAAGCAAGACAAAUAAAGAUUCCAGGGCCUUUCAAAACAGUCACGACUUUGCCCAGCACAAACCCAGGUUCCAUGCUGUCAGCGCCAACUAUUCCUGCCAAUAGUUUUGAGUUUCUUCCUGGUUUCCUGGUCGUGAAACAAGUUAUUCAAGCAUCCUUCAUCGUCUGAAACAUCAGGACGAAAACAAGCCAAUGACUGAGCGUCAGAGAAAUCUUCGAGCCCGAAUGAGUCAUCACUCGCUUUUUCCAGAAUCAAAGACUUUCUUCUCUUCUUAGCUCUAGAAUUUGCAAGAGCAUCAGUAGCCACACGCUUCGAGUUGCCGAAAUGGUCUUCCCGUCUGGAGCAGAAGGCUGUAAUGAAAUGGUUGGAACAAUCAAAGAUUACAUAUUGCUUCCUUUCACGAGGACACGACUUUGUAUCAUCUGAGUGUUCUCUUGCAGCCAUCUGUUUCUCUACUCCCUACUGAUUUGGAAAACACGAAGAAGAUGGUUCUCUCAUAUAUAAUAAAGUAAACUUUUGCACGAA